GGAGCUAUCACUUUCUCAUCGUCUCUUCAACUCUUCUUCAUCACUACCUUCGCUAUUCAAUUCAAGAAUUAAGCUUUCACAAACCCAUCUCUUCUCCUUAAACAAUCAUCACCAAAAGUUGCAAUUUUUCACUGGUUUACACCACAAACUAGCUGCUUCAAUGGAACCUCAAACAACGAUUCCUCAUGCUUUCGAUAAUGGGUCUUCCAUAACUUCCUCUGAAACAGGUCGAAUUGGGGAAGUGAAGAGGACUACGAAAGAGACGAAUGUGCAUGUGAGGAUAAACUUGGAUGGAACUGGUGUUGCGGAGAAUAAUUCUGGGAUUCCAUUUCUUGAUCACAUGUUGGAUCAACUCGCUUCACAUGGGUUGUUCGACGUGCAUGUAAAAGCUACUGGCGACAUUCACAUCGAUGAUCACCACACAAAUGAAGAUGUCGCACUUGCCAUUGGAACUGCAUUGUUGCAAGCACUUGGAGAUAGAAAGGGAAUCAAUCGCUUUGGUGACUUCUCAGCUCCAUUGGAUGAAGCUCUGGUUCAUGUAUCACUGGAUUUAUCAGGAAGGCCACAUUUGAACUUUGAUGUACAAAUACCUACUCAGAGAGUUGGAACAUAUGACACUCAGCUGGUGGAACACUUCUUUCAGUCCUUGGUCAACACGUCUGGAAUGACGCUCCAUAUUCGACAGCUCGCUGGAAAAAAUUCUCAUCACAUCAUUGAAGCAACUUUCAAGGCGUUUGCUAGAGCUCUUCGGCAAGCA
This 757-nucleotide unclassified non-coding RNA is filed under the name Hevea brasiliensis (rubber tree). Lineage: Eukaryota; Viridiplantae; Streptophyta; Magnoliopsida; Malpighiales; Euphorbiaceae. The record is from RNAcentral.